CGCUCUCAUUACCCACCAAGAAUAUUUGGAUUAAAUUGAAACAGCUUCCGAUUCCCUCACAAUUCUGAACUCAUUUUCUUCGUUGCUUCAUAUUCCUCUUUCCUUUGCUUCAAUUUUCUCAUCUCUCCUUCUUCCUUCUCCUAAUCGCUACUGCAACAGGAUCACGGAUAAGUUUCCAGGAUUCCUCUCAUCUGUUUCGGAAGAAUGUCUCGUGUUCGGAAUUUCAGCUCUCAUGGAGGAAUGGCUAAUGAUGAUUACUGGGUCACCAUGAAUCGAUAUGAUGUCGGAGACCACUGUCAGAAGACAAGUAGGAGCAAUUAUUAUGAUUAUGGCUAUAGCCACCAUUUUGAAUUCUCAGGACAGUAUAAAGAGCCGGUUGAUAGGUCUAUUUAUGCGAGGCCUGCUAUUUCCAACUCCAUCAGGCCUCAUAACUAUCAGUCCUUUAAAAGGAGGAAGUUUUCUGCUUCACGUUGGGAGGAUAGUGGGAGGUACCAUUGGCAGGCACGGACAUAUGAUCAUGGACCUUCAAUCUAUAGCAAUUUGGUCCACCCUCCUCCAAGAUCCAACUAUGAUGUCUCUACAUCUGCCAGCUGUAAAAGAGAUCGCUCAAUAAUGGAUGAUGAUGAGCCUUCUUUCAUGUCCAGGGAUGAGAUUGAGAGAUGCUCACCUUCAAGAAAAGAUGGUAUUGACACACUACGUGAAACACAUCUGCGGUACACAUAUUGUGCCUUCCUUCAGAGUCUUGGUUUGCACCUUGAGUUACCCCAGACUACCAUUGGCACUGCAAUGGUUCUAUGCCAUCGGUUUUUUGUUCGAAGAUCACAUGCUUGUCAUGAUAGAUUUUUGAUUGCCACUUCUGCACUCUUCCUUGCUGCAAAAUCCGAGGAGACACCACGACCUUUGAACAAUGUCUUGCGAGCUUCAUCUGAAAUUCUGCACAAACAGGAUUUUAAUCUCUUAUCUUUCAAGCUUCCUGUUGAUUGGUUUGAGCAAUAUCGUGAAAGAGUAACGGAAGCUGAGCAAUUGAUACUGACUACUCUAAACUUUGAACUCAACGUUCAACAUCCCUAUGCUCCUCUUAUGUCUGUUCUUAAUAAGAUAGGUCUUUCACAGUCAAUGUUGGUGAAUCUUGCACUGAACUUGAUCAGUGAAGGGUAAGUUCAUCACUUUAUUUAUUCCACCUGUCCAUUUAAUUUUAAGAAAAUUAACAGGCAAUAUCUCUGUACCUGCAAGAUAGAGAUCUUGCAAUUUAUUGCUUCUCUGCAAUUAUUUUGUCCUUGCAACUGCUUACAGUAAUCUUUCUGGAUUGUCUAGUCUAUUUAGCAAGCAUGUCCUUGCAAUUGUGAAAAGUAGGUCAAUGAUGUAACAUUAAGAAUUAGAUUUGGGAUAUGUGGGUGCAAGAACCUCAAUGGAAUGACAAAUUUCUUGAAUUUUGGCGUUCAUUGUGGCACAAAAGAGGAUGCACUGGUGAUCUUCUUUCCCUCUAGGUAUCAAAAUGGAUCUAUGCUAGCAUGCUCGCCUAUUUGAUAUACUUAUCUGGCGGAUUGAUAUGCUGUUCUUCGAAACUUUUGUUUUACAAGUGAAGUAAAUUUAACCAUGAAUAAGCCCCAUCAACUUGGUACUUGGUGCUAAUGAUUGCCAAUGAGCCUACUGGAUCACUUUCUAUCCUUUCUUAACAAGAAUAUAUAGUUUUCCUCCUCUCCCCGGAGCGUGCUCUCUAGGCCAUUAAUUUUCCUAUACCUUUAAAGAAAUGAAGUCAUUUCCUUAUGGACUUUUUGACUCAGAAAGGCCUUCGUGUGGAAUUGAAUCUGCUAUCCAUUACCUUUAUAACCUAGAGAACCGCUGCCAAUGAUUUUGACUUUGUUCUUAUUUCCCAAUGACGGAUGGUCAAGUGAGUCUGGUAGAGAAUUUUUUCUGAUCAACCUCUUUGGAUGAACAUCUAGCACAGAAGAAGUCACAAUAUGGAUUUAGAUCUAUUAUAAAAAAAGAAAAAAUUGGGCUUUCUUUUCAAGAUUCAAGUGGUCCAUAUGACUCGAAUAUCAUGUUUAGUCACCAGGUUCUUGAUGUUCCAUUAGCAUGCAUACAAGUAAGCAGCCCUUCAAUUGAAAACUUAAAUUUGGGCCUACUUAUGUUUGUAAGUUUAUUUUCUGAUUGCUGUCUAUGCUUGGUGAAUUAUCAUUUGGUAUUUUCUGUUAAUCAUUUUGAGUCAGGGAGGGUGGAACUUAAAAUGUGGCGUUACUAUAACUGGUUCAGGAUGGGCUGAUUCAGAACAGGGAUAUGGGUUAUCUUGAUAGGCAUGGAAUGUAAAUUGUGGAAGAUCAACAAAAAAUUAAAAUAAAAUGAUUUUGGUUCUCCCCCUCCCACGGAGAGAAUAUAAAAUGCAUGCAUUCUUAUAUAGGCGGCCAGCAUGUUCUUUUCCAUUACUUUGUAUGCCUCAUUUUCCCUUUUAUCCCAUCCUUGAUUGAUAGAUAUAUAACUGAAACCUUUUGAACUUUAUUUUUUUGAAGAUGAUGUUUUUUUUUUUUUCUGUCGUUUGUGUUUUGUUUCCAUCGCAGUGAAACCUUAAGUUUUGUUGUUUCACACAAAUGAUUUAAUACAAUUAUUUUGGGAUGGUUUGCUUUUGAAAUUUAUUUGCUGAUCUGUAAAUUUUUUAUGGUUUUUUUUUUCUUUUUUUUCUCCCUCUUCUCGUAGGAGUUCCAUUCAUUUUUGUCCUUGCACUUUCACAUCUUCUUUUUUGGUGUAAUCUUUGCUCCUUCUGCUUUCGGUCAUUCAUCUUUUAAAAUCAUGUAAAUAUCUACCUCUCUUAGCAAUUUUGGAAUGUUUAAGAAACCAUGGUUUUUUAAACUCUGUUAACAAUCAUCAUGUUGGACUUUCAACUUNUUUUUUUUUUUUUUUUUUUUUUUUUUUUUUUUUUUUUUUUUUUUUUUUUUUUUUUUUUUUUUUUUUGCUCGUUAUCAAAUAAAUACCGUUUGCUUGAUAUUUUGGCCUCCCUGGAUUUUGUAAGCUAUUAAAAUUUUGAAACUUUUGUGACUGUUUCAAUUUCCCUCAUUUUGUUUCCUAUGGAGGACUGAACUCCUCUCUCUCUAUUUGGCUUUUAUUUUCAUUAGCCUAUUCUGUUAUUCAUGGCUGUGGAACUUUUUAAAGUAUGUUGUAAAAAUCCAGCACUGUUCUGUAGUUGUAAAGAUGUAUGUCUGGCCUAUUUCAUCUUGCAAUGCAUAGUGGAUGCUUCAUUAUUUGAAUGAAUCUGUAAUUUUCUUUGUUCUGAUUUAUAUAUUGACCUGUCAUUUUAUAUGUUAUGAUUUUAGGAAAUCCUGAAGGUGUAAACUUUUGAAAUAUUCAGUGACAUCAAGGUUUUGCAUUCAAUUUGUUGUACUUAGAAAUCGUGAAUUUUAAUUCCACUCAGGUGAUGUUUGUUUCAAUUUAUAUCAUCAUUAGAAUCACGAUCAUGAAAUAAAUGUGAUCUUCUUGCUUGUGUAAAGGUAGCAUUGUCCAUAGAAACUCCACCUUCUCCUGCCCACCCACCAAAA
Non-coding RNA from Cucurbita pepo subsp. pepo (vegetable marrow), 3527 nucleotides. NCBI's taxonomy places the organism in Eukaryota, Viridiplantae, Streptophyta, Magnoliopsida, Cucurbitales, Cucurbitaceae. The record is from RefSeq and is a predicted model, not a curated record.